RNAcentral lists this ribosomal RNA (485 nucleotides) under uncultured bacterium. RNAcentral describes it as "partial 16S ribosomal RNA". It matches the Rfam family "Bacterial small subunit ribosomal RNA", at positions 27 to 507 of the family's 1533-position model. The record is from RNAcentral.
GAUUGAACGCUGGCGGCAGGCCUAACACAUGCAAGUCGAGCGGAUGAAGGGAGCUUGCUCCUGGAUUCAGCGGCGGACGGGUGAGUAAUGCCUAGGAAUCUGCCUGGUAGUGGGGGAUAACGUCCGGAAACGGGCGCUAAUACCGCAUACGUCCUGAGGGAGAAAGUGGGGGAUCUUCGGACCUCACGCUAUCAGAUGAGCCUAGGUCGGAUUAGCUAGUUGGUGGGGUAAAGGCCUACCAAGGCGACGAUCCGUAACUGGUCUGAGAGGAUGAUCAGUCACACUGGAACUGAGACACGGUCCAGACUCCUACGGGAGGCAGCAGUGGGGAAUAUUGGACAAUGGGCGAAAGCCUGAUCCAGCCAUGCCGCGUGUGUGAAGAAGGUCUUCGGAUUGUAAAGCACUUUAAGUUGGGAGGAGGGGCAGUAAGUUAAUACCUUGCUGUUUUGACGUUACCAACAGAAUAAGCACCGGCUAACUUCGUG